GAUGAACGCUGGCGGCGUGCCUAAUACAUGCAAGUCGAGCGAACAGACGAGGAGCUUGCCCCUCUGACGUUAGCGGCGGACGGGAGAGUAACACGUGGAUAACCUACCUAUAAGACAGGGAUAACUUCGGGAAACCGGAGCGAAUACCGGAUAAUAUAUUGAACCGCAUGGUGCAAUAGUGAAAGACGGUUUUGCUGUUUCUUAUAGAUGGAUCCGCGCCGGAUUAGCUAGUUGGUAAGGUAACGGCUUACCAAGGCGACGAUGCGUAGCCGACCUGAGAGGGUGAUCGGCCACACUGGAACUGAGACACGGUCCAGACUCCUACGGGAGGCAGCAGUAGGGAAUCUUCCGCAAUGGGCGAAAGCCUGACGGAGCAACGCCGCGUGAGUGAUGAAGGUCUUCGGAUCGUAAAACUCUGUUAUUAGGGAAGAACAAAUGUGUAAGUAACUAUGCACGUCUUGACGGUACCUAAUCAGAAAGCCACGGCUAACUACGUG
Molecule: ribosomal RNA, 497 nt
Filed under: uncultured bacterium
Lineage: Bacteria
Description: partial 16S ribosomal RNA
Rfam family: Bacterial small subunit ribosomal RNA
Source: RNAcentral